UGUGUUUUAAUCUUUUACUAUCAAUUUUAACCAUCUUUAAAACAUUUUAAAGAUGGUUAAAACUGAUAGUAAAAGAUUAAAUCACU
RNAcentral lists this microRNA precursor (86 nucleotides) under Podarcis lilfordi (Lilford's wall lizard). The record is from RNAcentral. Lineage: Eukaryota; Metazoa; Chordata; Lepidosauria; Squamata; Lacertidae.